GAAAGAGUUCCAAAACAUCUUUUCGUCCGAAUGUCAACCGUCACGUAAUAAAGAAUGCGAAGUUUUAUUUAAAUAAAGAGACUUACAGGCAGAACCUCUGUGAUACAAUACCAGUAACUGUGGCUUUUACUCAUGACUUCCAUCAUGGCCCAGACGCAAAGAAGCCGUGUUAUACAGCUCUACAAAAAUCUUUUGCACAUGGGACGUGACUAUCCUAAAGGAUUUGAUUACUUCAGGGAACGACAGAGAAAAGCUUUUCGAAAUAACAGAAAUAUCACA
Long non-coding RNA from Ylistrum balloti, 279 nucleotides. RefSeq lists it as uncharacterized. The record is from RefSeq and is a predicted model, not a curated record. NCBI's taxonomy places the organism in Eukaryota, Metazoa, Mollusca, Bivalvia, Pectinida, Pectinidae. The transcript is spliced from 3 exons.